AACGAACGCUGGCGGCAUGCCUAACACAUGCAAGUCGAACGAGACCUUCGGGUCUAGUGGCGCACGGGUGCGUAACGCGUGGGAACCUGCCCUUAGGUUCGGAAUAACUCCCCGAAAGGGGUGCUAAUACCGGAUAAUGUCUUCGGACCAAAGAUUUAUCGCCUUUGGAUGGGCCCGCGUUGGAUUAGCUAGUUGGUAGGGUAAAAGCCUACCAAGGCGACGAUCCAUAGCUGGUCUGAGAGGAUGAUCAGCCACACUGGGACUGAGACAUGGCCCAGACUCCUACGGGAGGCAGCAGUGGGGAAUAUUGGACAAUGGGCGAAAGCCUGAUCCAGCAAUGCCGCGUGAGUGAUGAAGGCCUUAGGGUUGUAAAGCUCUUUUACCCGGGAUGAUAAUGACAGUACCGGGAGAAUAAGCUCCGGCUAACUCCGU
RNAcentral lists this ribosomal RNA (432 nucleotides) under uncultured bacterium. Its description in RNAcentral is "partial 16S ribosomal RNA". It matches the Rfam family "Bacterial small subunit ribosomal RNA", at positions 29 to 506 of the family's 1533-position model. The record is from RNAcentral.